UACGUAGGACGCAAGCGUUGUCCGGAAUCACUGGGUGUAAAGGGUGCGUAGGCGGGCAGGUAAGUCAGUGGUGAAAUCUCACGGCUCAACCGUGAAACUGCCGUUGAUACUGCUUUUCUUGAGUUUGGGAGAGGUCGAUGGAAUUCCAGGUGUAGCGGUGAAAUGCGUAGAUAUCUGGAAGAACACCAGUGGCGGAGGCGGUCGACUGGCCCAUAACUGACGCUGAGGCACGAAAGCGUGGGGAGCGAACAGG
RNAcentral lists this ribosomal RNA (253 nucleotides) under uncultured bacterium. Its description in RNAcentral is "partial 16S ribosomal RNA". It matches the Rfam family "Bacterial small subunit ribosomal RNA", at positions 524 to 776 of the family's 1533-position model. The record is from RNAcentral.